CCUACGGGUGGCAGCAGUGAGGAAUAUUGGUCAAUGGGCGGAAGCCUGAACCAGCCAAGUCGCGUGAGGGAAUAAGGCCCUACGGGUCGUAAACCUCUUUUGCCGGGGAGCAAGGGCGGGGACGUGUCCCGGCCCGGAGAGGACCCGGAGAAAAAGCAUGGGCUAAUUCCGUGCCAGCAGCCGCGGUAAUACGGGGGAUGCGAGCGUUAUCCGGAUUUAUUGGGUUUAAAGGGUGCGUGGACGGGCUUUUCGGUCAGCGGUAAAAAUUCGGGGCUCAACCCAGUCCGGCCGUUGAAACUGGGGGCCUUGAGUGUGCGUGAAGAAGGCGGAAUGCGUGGUGUAGCGGUGAAAUGCAUAGAUAUCACGCAGAACCCCGAUUGCGAAGGCAGCCUUCC
Molecule: ribosomal RNA, 395 nt
Filed under: uncultured bacterium
Lineage: Bacteria
Description: partial 16S ribosomal RNA
Rfam family: Bacterial small subunit ribosomal RNA
Source: RNAcentral